AGAGUUUGAUCCUGGCUCAGGAUGAACGCUGGCGGCAUGCCUAAUACAUGCAAGUCGAACGAGAGGAAGGAAAGCUUGCUUUUCUGAAUCUAGUGGCGAACGGGUGAGUAACACGUAGGUAACCUGCCCAUGUGCCCGGGAUAACUUCUGGAAACGGAUGCUAAAACCGGAUAGGUAGCAGACAAGCAUUUGACUGCUAUUAAAGUGGCUAAGGCCAUGAACAUGGAUGGACCUGCGGUGCAUUAGCUAGUUGGUGAGGUAACGGCCCACCAAGGCGACGAUGCAUAGCCGGCCUGAGAGGGCGGACGGCCACAUUGGGACUGAGACACGGCCCAAACUCCUACGGGAGGCAGCAGUAGGGAAUUUUCGUCAAUGGGGGGAACCCUGAACGAGCAAUGCCGCGUGAGUGAGGAAGGUCUUCGGAUCGUAAAGCUCUGUUGUAAGAGAAAAACGGCACUCAUAGGGAAUGAUGAGUGAGUGAUGGUAUCUUACCAGAAAGUCACGGCUAACUACGUGCCAGCAGCCGCGGUAAUACGUAGGUGGCGAGCGUUAUCCGGAAUGAUUGGGCGUAAAGGGUGCGUAGGUGGCAGAUCAAGUCUGGAGUAAAAGGUAUGGGCUCAACCCGUACUGGCUCUGGAAACUGUUCAGCUAGAGAACAGAAGAGGACGGCGGAACUCCAUGUGUAGCGGUAAAAUGCGUAGAUAUAUGGAAGAACACCGGUGGCGAAGGCGGCCGUCUGGUCUGGAUUCUGACACUGAAGCACGAAAGCGUGGGGAGCAAAUAGGAUUAGAUACCCUAGUAGUCCACGCCGUAAACGAUGAGAACUAGGUGUUGGGGGAAUAACUCAGUGCCGCAGUUAACGCAGUAAGUUCUCCGCCUGGGGAGUAUGCACGCAAGUGUGAAACUCAAAGGAAUUGACGGGGGCCCGCACAAGCGGUGG
This 940-nucleotide ribosomal RNA is filed under the name human gut metagenome. RNAcentral describes it as "bacterial SSU rRNA". It matches the Rfam family "Bacterial small subunit ribosomal RNA", at positions 8 to 935 of the family's 1533-position model. The record is from RNAcentral.